This 73-nucleotide transfer RNA is filed under the name Amycolatopsis deserti. RNAcentral's name for it is "tRNA-Val". It matches the Rfam family "tRNA". From Rfam's summary of the family: Transfer RNA (tRNA) molecules are approximately 80 nucleotides in length. The record is from RNAcentral. Lineage: Bacteria; Bacillati; Actinomycetota; Actinomycetes; Pseudonocardiales; Pseudonocardiaceae.
GCGCGAUUAGCUCAGCGGGAGAGCGCUACCUUGACACGGUAGAGGUCACUGGUUCAAUCCCAGUAUCGCGCAC